UGAAGAGGUAAACAAACCAGAACGCCAGCUAAGGUCCCAAAGUCAUGGUUAAGUGUGAACAGAGGUGGGAAGGCACAGACAGACAGGAUGUUGGCUUAGAAGCAGCCAUCAUUAAAAGAAAGCGUAAUAGCUCACUGGACGAGACGGCCUGCGCGGAAGAUGUAACGGGGCUAAACCAAGCACCGAAGCUGCUGCAGCGACACUCUGUGUUGUUGGGUAGGGGAGCGUUCUG
Molecule: ribosomal RNA, 232 nt
Filed under: Klebsiella pneumoniae
Lineage: Bacteria; Pseudomonadati; Pseudomonadota; Gammaproteobacteria; Enterobacterales; Enterobacteriaceae
Description: partial 23S ribosomal RNA
Rfam family: Bacterial large subunit ribosomal RNA
Source: RNAcentral